RNAcentral lists this transfer RNA (86 nucleotides) under Lignipirellula cremea. RNAcentral describes it as "Planctomycetes bacterium Pla85_3_4 tRNA-Ala". The record is from RNAcentral. Lineage: Bacteria; Pseudomonadati; Planctomycetota; Planctomycetia; Pirellulales; Pirellulaceae.
CCAGGCGUGGAGGAUGGUCGCCUCGAGCGCGGCCGGCAGCUGCGCCAGUUCUUUUUCGUCGGUCGGAUCGUAGUCGGCCGCCAGCA